Long non-coding RNA from Toxotes jaculatrix (banded archerfish), 178 nucleotides. RefSeq lists it as uncharacterized. The record is from RefSeq and is a predicted model, not a curated record. The transcript has 3 exons. Lineage: Eukaryota; Metazoa; Chordata; Actinopteri; Toxotidae.
CAGAUGAUUUUCUCCAUCUGAAGUUAAAGUUCACUCACACAAGAAGCUAAGGAAAAAGAAGCUUGAAGUGAAGAACUAAGAGCCUUUCCUACACUGACAGGAGAGAGCUGCAGAGGGAUGAAGUUCAUGCGAUAACUGAAUGAAGGUAGAAAGCGUGUGUGAGCUGAUGUGGAUGUGA